This 73-nucleotide transfer RNA is filed under the name Ailuropoda melanoleuca (giant panda). It matches the Rfam family "tRNA". From Rfam's summary of the family: Transfer RNA (tRNA) molecules are approximately 80 nucleotides in length. Their secondary structure includes four short double-helical elements and three loops (D, anti-codon, and T loops). Lineage: Eukaryota; Metazoa; Chordata; Mammalia; Carnivora; Ursidae. The record is from Rfam by way of RNAcentral.
GCCCGACUGGCUUAGUCGGUGGAGCAUGUGACUCUUGGUCUCUGGGUUGUGGGUUCGAGUCCCACAUUAGGUG